This 725-nucleotide ribosomal RNA is filed under the name uncultured bacterium. Its description in RNAcentral is "bacterial SSU rRNA". It matches the Rfam family "Bacterial small subunit ribosomal RNA", at positions 65 to 784 of the family's 1533-position model. The record is from RNAcentral.
CAGCACGUCCCGACGUAAGUCGGGAUGGUGGCGACCGGCGCACGGGUGAGUAACACGUAUGCAACCUACCCUGUACAGGGGGAUAACCCGGAGAAAUUCGGACUAAUAUCCCAUAAAGAUAUUGAGAGGCAUCUUUUAAUAUUUAAAGCUCAGGCGGUACGGGCUGGGCAUGCGGAACAUUAGCUAGUUGGCAGGGUAACGGCCUACCAAGGCAGCGAUGUUUAGGGGACCUGAGAGGGUGAUCCCCCACACUGGUACUGAGACACGGACCAGACUCCUACGGGAGGCAGCAGUGAGGAAUAUUGGUCAAUGGGCGCAAGCCUGAACCAGCCAUCCCGCGUGAAGGAAGAAGGCGCUAUGCGUUGUAAACUUCUUUUCCAGGGGGUGAAUUUUCCGGUCGUGACCGGGAUUGACGGUACCCUGGGAAUAAGCAUCGGCUAACUCCGUGCCAGCAGCCGCGGUAAUACGGAGGAUGCAAGCGUUAUCCGGAUUUAUUGGGUUUAAAGGGUGCGUAGGCGGAUCAAUAAGUCAGUGGUGAAAACCUGCAGCUUAACUGUAGAUGUGCCGUUGAUACUGUUGGUCUUGAGUAUGGUCAAGGUAGGCGGAAUGUGUAAUGUAGCGGUGAAAUGCUUAGAUAUUACACAGAACACCGAUUGCGAAGGCAGCUUGCUGGGCCAUUACUGACGCUGAUGCACGAAAGCGUGGGGAUCGAACAGGAUUAGAUA